This 293-nucleotide ribosomal RNA is filed under the name uncultured bacterium. RNAcentral describes it as "partial 16S ribosomal RNA". It matches the Rfam family "Archaeal small subunit ribosomal RNA", at positions 455 to 747 of the family's 1478-position model. The record is from RNAcentral.
GUGCCAGCCGCCGCGGUACUACCGGCAGCUCGAGUGAUGUCCAAUAUUAUUGGGCCUAAAGCGUCCGUAGCUGGCCGACCAAGUCUCCCGGGAAAUCCACCCGCCCAACGGGUGGGCGUCCGACGGAAACUGCACAGCUUGGGACCGGAAGGCUCGAAGGGUACGUUCGGGGUAGGAGUGAAAUCCCAUAAUCCCGCACGGACCACCGAUGGCGAAAGCACUUCGAGAAGACGGCUCCGACGGUGAGGGACGAAAGCCAGGGUCUCGAACCGGAUUAGAGACCCUGGUAGUCC